CCCCUCCCCUCUUUCUGCUCUUAGUCAUCCCGCCUCCACUACUCUUUUCAACCCUAAUCCUUCUCCUCCUGCUAUUUCUUCCUCUACUGCCCCUACUGGACACAGAAGAUUUGGCAGGCAACAUAAUCCUCCCUCUUAUCUCAAUGACUAUGUUUGUCACUUACCUUCCUUUUCUGGCUCUUCCUCCUCUUCUUCUCCUUUGGAAUCUGAACCCCCUUAUUAUUCUCAAGCUGCAUCAGUCCUAGCAUGACAGGCUUCCAUGAGCAAGGAGUUUGAGGCUUUGGAUGAUGACCAUACUUGGGAUAUUGUUCCACUUCCUUCUGGUAAGAAGCCCAUAGGCUGCAAAUGAGUUUAUAAAAUUAAAUAUAAGGCUGAUGGUAGUGUUGAAAGAUACAAGGCUAGGCUUUUCAUUAGUGGUUACACUCAAAUUGAAGGUGUUGAUUUCACUGAAAUAUUUUUUCCUGUGGUCAAGAUGUCUACUGUUAAAUGCUUGAUUGCUGUGGCUUAAGAAACAUUGGAGUCUUUUUCAACUUGAUGUUAAUAAUGCCUUCUUGCAUGGUGACCUUGAUGAGGAGGUCUAUAUGAAGCUUCCUCCAGGUUUGUGUGUUUCUGCCUCUUCUGAUCCCUCUGUUUCUGCACCCAUUGUGUGCAAGUUACAAAAAUCCCUUUAUGGAUUGAGACAGGCUUCCAGGCAGUGGUAUGCCAAAUUGUCUCAUGCUCUAUACUCCAGAGGCUAUAUCCAUUCUAUGAAUGACUACUCUUUAUCUGUUAAGGGCCAGCCUGGGUGUCUUGUGGUUCUGGCUGUGUAUGUGGAUGACAUUAUUAUCACUAGAGAUGAUGUUGCUGAACUUUCUGCCCUGAAGAUCUUCCUGGAUGACCAAUUCAGAAUCAAAGACCUUGGGUCUUUACACUAUUUUCUGGGUAUUGAGGUGUCCACUGUUGCUGGUGGUGUGCUCCUUAAUCAGCACAAGUCUGUAUCUGACUUGCUGCAUCAGUUUGAUUGUGUGGAUGUCUCCCUUGUGGUUUGUCCUUUGGACCUCAAUACCAAAUUGCAUGCUGAUUCUGGUGUUUUCUUUUCUCCUGACCAUUACAGGAGCUUGAUUGGCAAGCUCCUCUUCUUGACACAUUCCAGACCUGACAUCUGUUUUGCUGUUCAACAUUAGAGUCAGUUUUUGAAGGCUCCCAGAAUACCUCACAUGUCUGUUGCUCUACAUGUUCUUAGGUAUCUUAAGGGUUCUAUGGAUUUGGGGCUCUUCUACUCUGACAGUCCUGAUUUUUCAGUCACUGCCUUUUCAGACAGUGACUGGGCAGCUUGCCCUGACACUCGCAGAUCUGUUACUGGUUUUUGUGUGAUUUUGGGUGACAGCUUGGUCAGUUGGAAGUCCAAGUAACAUAACAGCACAGCUUGCCUUGACACUCGUAGAUCUGUUACUGGUUUUUGUGUGAUUUUGGGUGACAGCCUGGUCAGUUGGAAGUCUAAGAAACAGCCAGUGGUCUCUCUAUCCUCUGCUGAGGCAAUAUACAGGGCACUCAGUAAGGUGGUUCCUGAAUUAUCUUGGAUUUCUCGUUUGCUCACUGAUCUUGGUGUUUCUAUUUCUAUUCUUUUUUCUGUUUAUUGUGACAAUCAGGCUGCCCUCCAUAUUGCUAAGAAUCCAGUUUUUCAUGAGCGGAUCAAGCAUAUUGAGGUUGAUUGUCAUUUUGUUCGUACCAAGCUCACUGAUGGUCUGAUUUCCCGUUCUCAUGUAUCUACUUCUCACCAGUUAGCUGAUGUUCUCACCAAGCCCCUGCCUGGCACUGUCCAUCAUCGUCUUUUGUUCAAGUUGAAGGUGGUAUCCCUCUCCAACUUGAGGGGGGGGUGUUGAGCUAAAAGACUACUUACCUUCUAAGCCUAAACACAUACAUUGAUAAUUGUUGUACUUUCAUUGUAUCAUUAUUGUAAAUUGUAUGUAUACAGCACAUUGGGCUACUAUUUUG
RNAcentral lists this long non-coding RNA (1974 nucleotides) under Nicotiana benthamiana. RNAcentral describes it as "long non-coding RNA (NBEN_LNC025056)". The record is from RNAcentral. Lineage: Eukaryota; Viridiplantae; Streptophyta; Magnoliopsida; Solanales; Solanaceae.